GCCCCGGGAAAGCACGGGCGGGAAAGCCGAGCCGCCGUGGGUGCGGAGAGAGCGGAGCUCAGUGCCAAAGCCUGGGUGUGCAAAGAAAGACGCUGGCUUCAGCCGAGCUCCCAGAAGGCAGAUGCUAGAAUCUGCAGCCCGAGCGGAAAACACAAGCGUGGUCGGGGAGGUUUGCUCCGUGCACCUGUGGUAUAGAGUGCGCUCACAGAAGACAUGGUACGUGAGACUGUGGGGGAUUCCAGAACCCGUGUUACCCAAGCAGGUGCCUCGUGAUCCCCUUCAAAAAGUUCUUUCUAAUCUUCUCCAAGACAGCAGCUUGUCAGAUUCACAAGGAUUGUGUGCAAAACGGGAGAUGUUUGUCGAGUGACAGUUAAAAAGAUGGGGUUGAACUACACGAGGCUUGUGAAUGAGCUCCGUGGUGUUGACUUGAGCUGCUCAGAGGCCUUUUUCUUCAACCGUGUUCGCUGUGGCUGAGACGAUUGGAAAAAUGACCUCUGGGUAGAUCUGCUCAUCAGAAUACACCUGGCUUCUCUGGAUGCAGUGGAGCAUGUGUGUAAUCCUAAGGCAGUGUGGGAAGUGGACACGGUAGAAUCACCAGGAAGCUGUCUGGGUAGACAGCCUGGAGUACCCAGCAUGGCAGCGGGAACAAGAGAGACCACGUGUCAGCAAGGUGGAAGGACAUUGUUACCGGAUACACCGAGACCUCCAGAUUUUUCUCCUAUGUAUGUGAAGGAUAUUGGAGGACAUAUUCCAUCAGUUCCUGGAAAUGGGAAAGUCAAGUUCACAUGUACUUCCCCAUUUUGCUCCAGCAAUGAGUUGGCGCCAUCUCCUAACAGACUGAGGGCUCUCUUCCCACCUCUGUGUUAGGAAACUUCACACUGGCCAGGAGUGCUCACACCCCAGCAAAGGUUACCGUAAGUGCUUCCUUCUGGAUUGCUGAUGGUCUCUCAGCCCACCAUACCUUUGCAUACCUUUGAGGGUUGAUGGAAAGCCAGUCCUUCUUAAAAGAGGUUUGGGGACAUAAAGAAUUGCUACCUUGAUGACUACACCAGCAAACCGCAUCCCAACGGAGCAAUGGGGGCAAAGCAUGUGCUCCAGGAACAGCUGGGCCCUGGCAUGGUAGGGGCAGUGGCUGUGUGUCUGCUUUCCUGGGCCUUUAGUGUAGUUUGAACCCUGAGGAAAAACAGGUCCAAAUAGUGUGAAAUGGGCUUUCCUUGUUAUUCUGCUGCCCCAGAAAGACACUGCCUUGAGGCUCUUUGGAAAGUGAAGAUGACAGGUGACGCCUUCUUUACAAAGACACAUUUCUAGAUAACAAUCCUCAUGACUGGGCUAUACAUGUGUUGUCCAAGGGAACUUUCCGACAGUGAUGGGCAUGCUCUGUGUCAAUGCUGCCAGCAAGAUGGGUGCUCCCUGCAUACAGCUCCUGAAAUGUGAUUGGCCUGAGCUGAGACGUGUUGCUAGAGUAGACCAGAUGCUGGAUUUCCAAGACACAGCCCAGAGAAAGGAAUUGGAAUGCUACACUAAUACAUUUAUAUUGAUCACCACCAAAAUGGAUAUAUCAUUAACAAGUAAACUCAGUUUAACUUGUUUCUCAUUAAUACGUGGAUUGCAGCUAUUAAAAUCUUUUAAGGGACACACGUGGCACAUUCUGAACAGGUUCUAGGGGAAGGAAAGAUCCUGGGCACGACAGCAGACAAACUAAGCUAGAUCAGCAGACGUCAAGAGACACAUUCUGUCCUGAAGCCUCCUCUUGUUAGAACGCUCAGAAAAUGCCUCGCCAGUGGCCAGCACACUGCGCAGGUGCAGAGCAACACACCCAGACAUUUGAAACUGUGAACUGACACCCAAACCUUCUUGCUUCGGUACGUAGGAUUUUACCUCGGAGACGGUAAUGUGGCUGUCCACAAGGCGUCACAGUCAGGGGUCACAGCCGGGAGUACACUCCUGCUCCCAAUAUCUACGUCCUCUUUCUAACCCCAGGAAGAUAAAGAACAAUGCCAUGCUUUAGAAUGUAUGUCUGAUCACAACCUGCUUUGAACCCCAGCACUUUUUUUCCUCCAGAUGGAGACUCAUAAGGCAUAGACUAAGGUUUAAGCACCCAAGUAAGUCAGAAGGAUGGCAGAAGCCAUAGAAAGAUCUAGUCUUCAUUAUUUUAAUCUCAGGCCUUCAGAUUUCUUAAGGAGGUUAAAAGAAACAACACAGUAAUUUAAAAACACUUGUCAAAAAUUGUCUCUCCCCCCUUUCUUUUUUAGAAAUAGGCUCAGCUUCUGAUCAAUCAUCAAAAACAUCUCAAUGAGAAGUUGGAGAAAUAUCUCAGUGAAGAGUUUCUGUACAAGCAUGAAGACCAGAGUUUGGAACCCAAGAAUCCAUGUAGAAAGCUGGGUAUGGCAGCAGGCGCCUGUAACCACUGUGCUGGGUCAGCAGAGACAUGGUGAUCCCUGGGGCCCCCCUCUAGCUUAAUUGAUGAAACUUCAGGCUCACUGACCUGUAUCAAAAACUAAGGCAAGCAGUGACCGAAGAAGACACCUAAUACUGACCUCUGGCCUCCACAUAGAUAUACAUACAUGUACAUGUGCAUCCCCCACCCCACAAACAUGUAUGUGGACAUGCACACAUACACACACCCUGUUGAGAAAGACCACUACAGUCAGCAGAAGAAAAAUAAGUUUGGUUUUAACCUUCAGGAAAUGAAGGACAGGAAAAGAGGAGGGAGACCCUUCUUUGACGUCCUUUGGGUCAAGGAGGCAAAGAUGACGCUCUAAUUAGAGAACUCAAGCCAAGCCCAAGUUAAAGAAGCUUCCACCACCCAUGCCACGUGCAGAACCAUGGGAGGAAGUGCUCUGCGCACCCCGGGAGGCAGUGUGCCUGGUGCAUAAAUCCAUACUUUCUUAACACACUCCUUCUGGGCUUUUGCUUUCUGCACAGGGAGUGGGAACUGUAAAAAUAGACUUUGUGUUUCUGAAGAAGUGAAAGACUUAUUGCAUCAUGGUGGUAAACUACCAUCUACCAGGGCCGUGUGACCACAUGCAAACAUGCAGCUCAACUCUAAAAUAGCUACCAUUCCAGACAAGUGCGUUGGCUUUGUUUUUUUCCGUUUGUUUGUCUUGUUUUGUUUAGUCAAAAAUGUGAGAUCACAUAAGCAAAGUUAAAAAAGAAACUGGUAUUGGGGAAAACAGACCCGUGUUAGCUAGUCCAAACACCUGGUCAACCAAUUCACUUAAUUCACAUUGACUUCUCCCCAGCUGUGAGUCUCGGGUUAUUACUCUCUUUACUUCCUUUUUUCCUUUGUAAGAACUCUACAAAAAUGGAAAGGAAAUAAUCUGUAAACAGAAAGUAUCGAUUUUUGCCGGAGCCCUGUAAGGCACAGACCCACCACCUCCUUCCUUCCUUUUCAUCCCCAGUAAUAAAGGGAAUGAGAAAAACACUCUGAGAAACUGUCGGGAAGAAAGGCUGCCCCCUCUGAUCCUCGCCCACCCCUUCCCAUGUCUCCUCCCGAGGUUCAACCAGACCCUCGGGUCCAUGCGGAAAAUUUUCCCCCUUGACAACCAUUUCUCCACUGAAGCCAGACAACAAAUAUUAAACAAUUGUUAUGUGCAAGGCCUGAGCUGGGGGUGGGGGGAAGAGAAAAAGGAACAUUCUUUUAAAAAAGUAUAAGAUCUAGGGAUGUAGAAAGGCACAUUGUCCAAAAGUACAGAGUGAAUCAAGUGUUAGGAUACUGCACUUCAAAGCCUGCUAAUGCACAGGAGCGCCUAAGUGUUAGAACACCUGGAGGGCCCGUACUGUCUGCCUGCUACAAGUGUAGGAGACUUCUGGAAAACGCAAGCUUAAGAGGAGUCAGUGGAGAGGCUAAGAUUGUCCAACCUCAGAGUAGACAGACAGGCUGAGGUCAGCAUGGCCUCCAGCCACAUCUCCGCGUCUUAAGGGAAAAGUCUCAAUGGACAAAAUCCUCCCACCGGUAGACUGUCCACGGCAAAGCCAGCAUCCAAGGUCACGUCAUUUGUCUCCCACUGGGGCUAUUUUUGGAGCCCAGAUGACAGUGUUUUAAGCAGCUGGACAGUCCAGACAGAAGACAAAUGAGGGGACACCAUGUGCUUGCUAUUGUGAUCUUCAGUGGUACCCCAGCAGCUUCAGAUAAUAGAUGCUCCUUUGAAAGGCUUCUCUUGGUGGACAGCAGCAGCAGGAGGGCAUCCUGGGUGGCUGAACCGCAGGGAGGGAGGUGAGAGACCAGAGGGAGCAGAGCGCAGGGCUUAGGACUGAUGAGCAGACCUGGGGCUCUUCCCAGACCUGCUGUUCACUGAUGCUGGUGUUUUCUGGGCAUCAUCUAAGUAUUGAACACUGUUGUAAAUGCUGGGGACACAGUGAUCAACCAGUUAGACUCAAGCGACUUCUCACGACAUGUUUCCCAGGGCUAAGAAGCAGUUGGGCAAAGGAAGCCACAUGCAGAAGUCCUUACAAUCACACACGUCAGGGCCGGACGAAAGCCGGUCGUGACAAUUCCAUGCAUGCAUGCUUUGAAAAAACCUAGGUUAUAAAACAUAAAUAGAAGCUUUGGGGACCCAGGGAAAAUUGACCUUUGAGAUCUAGGAAGGUUUCUGAGAAAGAUGUUUUCCCUGGCUGAGUAGGAUUUUGGCAGGUGGAAAACAGAGGCAAAUUGCAUUCCAUAAGGAGGAAGAAAUAAUACAUGAAACAUACAUGUAUGCCAAUUCCAUAAGAUAGCUCUAGAUUUCUUUUCUUUCUUUCUUUCUUUCUUUCUUUCUUUCUUUCUUUCUUUCUUUCUUUCUUUCUUUCUUUUCUUUUCUUUUCUUUCAAGUUAAGAAAUGGAAUCUCUAAAAGGUGAAACUGAAAGCGUUGAAAGACUCACUGAAGGUCACCAACAUAUUUGGCAAUACAAUUAAAAUGUAACCAAAUCUAAAUCGACCCCAUGCAGCCUUCCUGAAAGCAGAUGGUCCAUAAAAAGCUUUUAACGGUGGCUGUUACUAUAGAUGUCAGUGCAGGACUGCAAAGGCUAUCAUGGUGAUGUGCUCAAGGCAGCUGGAGAGAGAGGAAGGUGACCGGAGAUGGGAUGGGAGAACAGCAAGAGUCACGCGUGGGCUUUGAAAAUCUGUCAGCGUGACCUGCUUAUGCUGGACAAGAAAUAUCCAACAGCAGACUGAGGAGAUGGCUCAGCGUGCUACAAUGAUUGCUGUGCAAGCAUGAGGACCUGUGUGGGUCCCCAGCACCCAUGUGAAUAAACUGAAUGUGGUGGCAUGUGCCAGUACCCCAGCACUGGGGAGGCUGAGGCAGGAUCACUGGGGCUGGCUGGCCAGCAAGUCUCGCCUAAUGAGUGAGCUCCAGGCUUAACGAGAGACAGAAUGACAACCAACACUGACCUCCAGCCUCUAAGUACACGGGCACACACAUGAAAACACACACACACACACACACACACACACACACACACACACACACACACACACACACACACCCAACAGCUAAAGCAUCAGCAACUCCAUUAUCCCAAUAUCCUGGAGGGCAGAACCCACAGCCUUGGCGCCUCCUGGGCUUUGCCCUGAAUUAUGAACAACAAAAAGAAGGAACAUACUUUGAGAGUAUAUUAGUGAUAGUUGAUGAAGCCUCGGCUGAAAGACUGUCUUGUGAGAACCGAGGUCUGAGAAACCACAGGGAAGAUACUUUGAAAGCUCUUGACAAAUCGAUGUGUUUCAACACUCACAUGAAAGGGACAGUGGAUCUCCUGUGGACAUGCUUACACUUCCAGAAACGUGGUGCAGGCCACACGAGGCGAUGGGAGCCAUGAACAACAAUUUUAUAAACAGCAGGCUUGGUGGUCACCCUGUCAAAUGCCUGCUGAGGAUGCUGUGGGUACCAACUGAGGGAGGUGGAUGGGGAUAAUAAAUAGCACAUGGUUGUGCAUCACAUCAGUAACACACAUCAGUAGACCACAUCAGUAACACACCUUAAUCCACCAUAUACCUGCUAACACACUAUUUAGUGAUUGUGCAUAGAGAGAAGCCACAGACCUUUCUAUUGUUGAUCUGAUUUGGCUAUUAUUUUGUAUGUAUGUAUGUGUGUAUGAUGUGUUUGUGCCCAUGAAUGUGUGUGAGAGAGAGACAGAGAGAGACACACAGAGAGACUGAGAGACAGAGAAACAGAGAGACAGAGAGGUCUGUAUAUACAGAGGUCAGAGGUCAAUACCAGCUAUCUUCCUCAGUCAUUCCCCGCCUUAUUUUUUGAGAUGGUGUCUCUCACUGACUAGGUGAUACCAGUCAUCCAGCAAUCUCCAGCAGGCUCCAGGACUCCAUCUGUCUGUGUCUUCCCAGUCCCGGGGUUACAGGCGUGUUCAGACAAGUCAGGUUUUUUCACAGAUGCUGGGGGUUUGAAUUUGGGUUCUCAUACUUGUGCACCAAACAUUUUAUUGACUAAGCCAUCUACUCAACCCCUCUUUUUGAUUUCGAAAGAAGAGAUUCAAUCAAGCAGUGUGUUCUCUAACCUCUAGUCUUGGUUUAAAAGCUUGGGAGAAUUUGCAUUUGAAGUGUAUGGUCGGGGCAAGGUGGGAUAGGGGAGGUGCCGUAUCCUGCCUGGAUAAGGCAGGUAAAUACCUGUUACUUUAAAGAAUCUGAUAUUUAUUAUGGAGGAGACAAAGAGUUCUCCAGAACACCUGCCUGGGGUGUGACAAAAUCAGCUCCACAUUCUAGAAGAAUCCCAGCUAUCAGGUGAGGGAAGUACCCAACCACUAUACACAAUAUUUCCCCCAAACAUACCUGCUCUCCAUUAAUCAGGCUCACGAUAUACUAAAGUUUAAGAAACCAAAGGCCAGACACUUUGAAACAGGCAGUAUAAUGGCCGUAUGUGUGCCUCUACCUAGCAGCUAAGACAGUUAAUUUAACGGAACUUCAGCUGAACUGAAUAGUUCCUAGAAAUGUAAUAACAACCUCCAACAACUGGCUUUGUGAGAAAGUAUAUUCUGAGUCCUCGAAGAGGGAGCAGAGGAGGAAACAUUUCUAGGAAGAACAUUUGGUCUCUAGGUUCCCACCAGGCAUGUCAGCCUGUGCUCUUGGCAUUCAAGGCUUCUCUGCUGUUACACUGACCUGUUUGCUGCCAUACGAGCUAGUGUGAGGACGUGAAGAUAGACAUUUCAAUACAGUAGAAGCCUAUGUUUUCUUUCCUGGAACUUUGUCUGGGGUGAGCUUCGGGGAAACACACCUUUUACUAUGAACUGCUGGGGAUGCUGUGAAUGUUUCCCUCUGAUUGAUUGAUAAAUAAAAUGCUGAUUGGCCAGUAGCCAGGCAGAAAGUAUAGGAGGGACAAGCAGAGAAGAGGAUUCUGGGGACAGGAAGGCUGAGUAGGGAGACGCUGCCAGCCGCCGCCAUGAGUACCAACAUGUAAGAUACUGGUAAGCCACGAGCCACGUGACAA
Molecule: long non-coding RNA, 7413 nt
Organism: Peromyscus californicus insignis
Lineage: Eukaryota; Metazoa; Chordata; Mammalia; Rodentia; Cricetidae
Exons: 5
Source: RefSeq, a predicted model, not a curated record